Molecule: ribosomal RNA, 356 nt
Filed under: Ehrlichia canis
Lineage: Bacteria; Pseudomonadati; Pseudomonadota; Alphaproteobacteria; Rickettsiales; Anaplasmataceae
Description: bacterial SSU rRNA
Rfam family: Bacterial small subunit ribosomal RNA
Source: RNAcentral
GUUAGUGGAGACGGGUGAGUAAUGCGUAGGAAUCUACCUAGUAGUACGGAAUAGCCAUUAGAAAUGGUGGGUAAUACUGUAUAAUCCCCGAGGGGGAAAGAUUUAUCGCUAUUAGAUGAGCCUACGUUAGAUUAGCUAGUUGGUGAGGUAAUGGCUUACCAAGGCUAUGAUCUAUAGCUGGUCUGAGAGGACGAUCAGCCACACUGGAACUGAGAUACGGUCCAGACUCCUACGGGAGGCAGCAGUGGGGAAUAUUGGACAAUGGGCGAAAGCCUGAUCCAGCUAUGCCGCGUGAGUGAAGAAGGCCUUCGGGUUGUAAAACUCUUUCAAUAGGGAAGAUAAUGGGCUACCUAUAA